UGGGGAAUAUUGGACAAUGGGCGAAAGCCUGAUCCAGCAAUGCCGCGUGAGUGAUGAAGGCCUUAGGGUUGUAAAGCUCUUUUAGCAGGGAAGAUAGUGACGGUACCUGCAGAAAAAGCCCCGGCUAACUUCGUGCCAGCAGCCGCGGUAAUACGAAGGGGGCUAGCGUUAUUCGGAUUUACUGGGCGUAAAGCGCGCGUAGGUGGUUCGCCAAGUUAGAAGUGAAAGCCCAAGGCUUAACCUUGGAAUUGCUUUUAAAACUAGCGGACUAGAGAACGAUAGAGGACAGUGGAAUUCCUAGUGUAGAGGUGAAAUUCUUAGAUAUUAGGAGGAACACCGGUGGCGAAAGCGACUGUCUGGGUCGUUUCUGACACUGAGGCGCGAAAGCGUGGGGAGCAAA
RNAcentral lists this ribosomal RNA (400 nucleotides) under uncultured bacterium. Its description in RNAcentral is "bacterial SSU rRNA". It matches the Rfam family "Bacterial small subunit ribosomal RNA", at positions 355 to 772 of the family's 1533-position model. The record is from RNAcentral.